AAUUAUUGUUUCCUAACAGGUUUGUCUAAAACUCAUACCGCCCCGUCUUCGUCUUUAAUUGAUUAAGCAAACAGAUUGUCCCACCCCAAACUCACGCCAUUGGUUCAGCCAGAAUUUGAUAGGUUUCCCCGCAUUUUAUCCGGUCUGUAAUUUUUUUCGAUGUAUUUUUAUUUAGUGUAUUUUAUGUGUCAUUUUUUCCAGUGUAUUUUGUCAUCCAGAAAAUUACACACAUCGCCUUUCAUGAUUUAGAAAUGACGUUAUAAAAUUGAAAUAUGGGUGACGGUAGAGUAGGCAGUAUGCGUGUUCUGCGUACAGUAAGGGCGCCACUCAUUCUAACGGCUCUGGUCAGAAAGGGGGCCUAGGGGACCUCCAUACUUUCCCCGUUUGGUAUUUAAAUGGUCUCUCCGUAUAAGUAAGCUAUUAAGGAGCACGCUAUAGUGACUGCCCUCGGACUGCAGAGUGUAUGUGUGUGUGUGUGUGUGGUUUAUUCCGAAACGCAGCACUUCACGGUUGUGACUCGAUACGCGCACGGAGAUGGCAAGAGAUGGCGCAGCCAAAAUCGGGAUAUCAAAAGAGGAAACAAAAAUGGGAAAAAGAGGAGAGAGCAAGACGGAGAAGACUGCUAGUCACCCAGUUUUUCAACAGAAAAGCUCCAGAAGUUUUCCAAAAGUGUAUUGCCCAAAGACUGGAAGGCUUGGAAGGAGUUGUGAACAUAGUAGAUGACAUCUUGGUCUGAGGUGAAAACGUGGAACAACAUGAUAAGAGACUGAGAUUCCUGUUAGCCCAAGUCAGAAGAUCAAUCUGAAAUUGAACAAAGAAAAAUGCAAAAUCAGACUGACAGAAAUUCGCUAUGUUGGAAAAGAAAAGGUACUAGUGAUAUUGAAUAUCCCUGCGCCAGAAGACAAAGUGGCACUGAUGAGAUUUCUUGGCUUGGUUCAGUAUUUGGCAAAGUUUGUCCCAAACCUCUUUGAUGCUAGUGCGCCUCUAAGGAAGCUUUUGGAAAGUGAAGUUGCAUGGCACUGGGAGUCAAAACAACAGCAGAGCUUUGAAAAACUGAAGCAACUUUUGUCUCCACAGACUCUGCUGCAUCAGGGUAUAACUGCUGCCUGUAUGCGGGAUCGCUUUUACUUCCUUCCCACCAACCAUCAGCGGUACCUUGAGUAGGGAGGGUGUAAUGAGACUGGAGUCAUAUGGCUGUGUGAAGGACACCCCGGCAAUAUCUCUGGGACCUCAACUUCCAGGUGGUUUCUUGCUACUCUUUUCUUUGGAGUUCUGCAUACCAACCUUUUACCAAAAGUCCUUUGCUCCAAUACAGCUCUUUUCUACCCUGGAGCCCAUCUUGACCAGCUAUUCCACUGUCAUCACUGGCCCUCUUAGGCAGCCAGUUACUAAGGAUGCAGCCUACCAAUUCCUCUUCCAUGAUAUCUGCCUUCCAUUUCAAGCAGAGGAAGUUCUCACACUGUUCCAGAAAGCUGAGGACAUCAGAGGUUUCAGUGGAGUCGCUGAAGGAGGGGAAGUCUAGGCAUAUGGCAGGUCUCCCACAGAAUGAGGAAGCACCAGACAAGACAUGAGAGGCAUUCCUCCUGAAGAAACAAUCUAAAACCUCCCUCUCGAGUUUUUACAAGGAUUGCUGGAAAGAAUCCUUCAGCAUCUACAAGCUAGCCCCAUUGCAUCCCUUAAAGCGGCCUCCCUAUUAAGAGUGCUGUCAACUGAAUGUCUCUGACCCACCUCCAGAGUUUCAACGUGUGUUUUUAAGGCAAAUAAAUCACCUUUUACAUGUUUAAACUCUGUCUGAAGUGUUUCCAUUGUACAUACAUCAGUAAUAGGACAUUCACAUCAGAUUCUUCAUCAUCAUCAGAGAUAUACAGUGAACUAAGCACUGAUGUCAUUUCAGCGGUGGGACUGCGCCUAGUUACACACGGGCCUACCGUAAAAUCCACUGCAGGAUCCAAGGUAUUACCCUUGGCACUCCUGUCAACAGUGUUACUGUUUACAUUGUGCUUAGUUGUGAACUCCAUUUUUUUCUUUAUAACAACACACACUAAAAAAUUCCCUACCCAGGCCACCACUCUGUAACAACUUGCCCCUGAGAGGCACUGGUUACAAUUAGUCCGGACUCUAGCAGUGUGCGGUUGAAGAGCAAUUACAAACAAACACCAAAUAAUUUCAUUAGUUUGUAUUGUAUUAUGCAAAAGAUAGCAACCAAGUAUUUACAAUAAUCCCAUGCACCCACAGUCUUUCUCGCUGUGUAAAAGUCCUGUUGUAAAAGUAUAUACAAAUGAUUACUGUCUCAAAGGAUCAUCCUCACCAGUGUCUCUGUCAUGGUGAACGAUCCUCUGAACCCCCUGGGCCAAAUAAUCCCACUGGCGAAUGCCUCCAUCAUCCAAAAAAGGAAAAAAGGAAAAAUAGUCCCACCAGUGUUCCUCAGCAGUGAUCAUGGGUAAGCGUGAUGGUAAUUUUGUUGUAAACAGCUGAGCAUGCUUUCCUCCAUUGUCUCUUUUCUGGCUUAUAUUCACUUCUGCAAACAACCACGUCGGCACGUGAUGACGUGGCAUGAAACGGUGACCUCGUUGGGAUUCGUGAGCAAAAGACCACACAAUUAAUUACACACAUAGGUAUAAAAUGCAACAUUAUGCAGCAGUUUUAAAUAGUAAUUGUACUGUCUUGCACUGUUGCACACGUUUGCACAUGUGCACUUUAUGUAGUCCUGUGUACAGUGGGGCAAAAAAGUAUUUAGUCAGCCACCAAUUGUGCAAGUUCUCCCACUUAAAAAGAUGAGAGAGGCCUGUAAUUUUCAUCAUAGGUACACUUCAGCUAUGAGAGACAGAAUGGGGGAAAGAAUCCAGGAAAUCACAUUGUAGAAUUUUUAAAGAAUUUAUUUACAAAUUAUGGUGGAAAAUAAGUAUUUGAUCAAUAACAAAAGUUCAUCUCAAUACUUUGUUAUAUACCCUUUGUUGGCAAUGACAGAGGUCAAACGUUUUCUGUAAGUCUUCACAAGGUUUUCACACACUGUUGCUGGUAUUUUGGCCCAUUCCUCCAUGCAGAUCUCCACUAGAGCAGUGAUGUUUUGGGGCUGUCGCUGGGCAACGCGGACUUUCAGCUCCCUCCAAAGAUUUUCUAUUGGGUUGAGAUCUGGAGACUGGCUAGGCCACUCCAGGACCUUGAAAUGCUUCUUACAAAGCCACUCCUUCGUUGCCCGGGUGGUGUGUUUGGAAUAAUUGUCAUGCUGAAAGAUCCAACCACGUCUCAUCUUCAAUGCCCUUGCUGAUGGAAGGAGGUUUUCACUCAAAAUCUCACGAUACAUGGCCCCAUUCAUUCUUUCCUUUACACGGAUCAGUCGUCCUGGCCCCUUUGCAGAAAAACAGCCCCAAAGCAUGAUGUUUCCACCCCCAUGCUUCACAGUAUGUAUGGUGUUCUUUGGAUGCAACUCAGCAUUCUUUCUCCUCCAAACACGACAAGUUGAGUUUUUAUGAAAAAGUUCUAUUUUGGUUUCAUCUGACCAUAUGACAUUCUCCCAAUCCUCUUCUGGAUCAUCCAAAUGCUCUCUAGCAAACUUCAGACGGGCCUGGAUAUGUACUGGCUUAAGCAGGGGGACACGUCUGGCACUGCAGGAUUUGAGUCCCUGGCGGUGUAGUAUGUUACUGAUGGUAGCCUUUGUUACUUUGGUCCCAGCUCUCUGCAGGUCAUUCACUAGGUCCUCCCGUGUGGUUCUGGGAUUUUUGCUCACCGUUCUUGUGAUCAUUUUGACCCCACGGGGUGAGAUCUUGCGUGGAGCCCCAGAUCGAGGGAGAUUAUCAGUGGUCUUCCAUUUUCUAAUAAUUGCUCCCACAGUUGAUUUCUUCACACCAAGCUGCUUACCUAUUGCAGAUUCAGUCUUCCCAGCCUGGUGCAGGUCUACAAUUUUGUUUCUGGUGUCCUUUGACAGCUUUUUGGUCUUGGCCAUAGUGGAGUUUGGAGUGUGACUGUUUGAGGUUGUGGACAGGUGUCUUUUAUACUGAUAAUGAGUUCAAACAGGUGCCAUUAAAACAGGUAACGAGUGGAGGACAGAGGAGCCUCUUAAAGAAGAAGUUACAGGUCUGUGAGAGCCAGAAAUCUUGCUUGUUUGUAGGUGAACAAAUACUUAUUUUACUAAGGAAUUUACCAAUUAAUUCAUUAAAAAUCCUACAAUGUGAUUUCCUGGAUUCUUUCCCCCCAUUCUGUCUCUCAUAGUUGAAGUGUACCUAUGAUGAAAAUUACAGGCCUCUCUCAUCUUUUUAAGUGGGAGAACUUGCACAAUUGGUGGCUGACUAAAUACUUUUUUGCCCCACUGUAUGUCUUUGUAGUCUUAUUUAGUCCUGUGUAGUCGGUACUGGGGUGUAACAAUAUUGUGUUAUUAUACAACAGUUCCAGUCCACUAAUUGGUUUGCACAAGAGGCAUUGCAAGAGUAUUGAGUACAACAGCACUGGUACAUGUUACUGUUUGUAUCACUCUGCUUGUCUGUUUUUGCUACAUAAAAUUUUUCUGUGGGCUGUCAGUCUGUGUGUUGCAUGACAACACCCAACGCUCUAUCCAGCUGUGGCUCCUUUGAGGACUAUUUUUGUUGACUGAUCAAAAAUAAACAAAAUAUUUGUCCA
Pangasianodon hypophthalmus (striped catfish) is the source of this 4614-nucleotide long non-coding RNA. RefSeq lists it as uncharacterized. The record is from RefSeq and is a predicted model, not a curated record. The transcript has 4 exons. NCBI's taxonomy places the organism in Eukaryota, Metazoa, Chordata, Actinopteri, Siluriformes, Pangasiidae.